CCUACGGGAGACAGCAGUGGGGAAUAUUGCACCAUGGGGGAAACCCUGAUGCAGCGACGCCGCGUGAGUGAAGAAGUAAUUCGUUAUGUAAAGCUCUAUCAGCAGGGAAGAAAAUGACGGUACCUGAGUAAGAAGCCCCGGCUAACUACGUGCCAGCAGCCGCGGGAAUACGUAGGGGGCACGCGUUAUCCGGAUUUACUGGGUGUAAAGGGAGCGUAGACGGCAGUGCAAGGCUGGAGUGAAAGGCGGGGGCUCAACCCCCGGACUGCUCUUGAAACUGUACGGCUGGAGUGCAGGAGAGGUAAGUGGAAUUCCUAGUGUAGCGGUGAAAUGCUUAGAUAGUAGGAGGAACACCAGUUGCGAAGGCGGCUUACUGGACUCUAACUGACGUUGAGGCUCGAAAGCGUGGGGAGCAAACAGGAUUAGAUACCCCUGUAGUC
This 440-nucleotide ribosomal RNA is filed under the name uncultured bacterium. RNAcentral describes it as "partial 16S ribosomal RNA". It matches the Rfam family "Bacterial small subunit ribosomal RNA", at positions 338 to 795 of the family's 1533-position model. The record is from RNAcentral.